Callithrix jacchus (white-tufted-ear marmoset) is the source of this 7486-nucleotide non-coding RNA. NCBI's taxonomy places the organism in Eukaryota, Metazoa, Chordata, Mammalia, Primates, Cebidae. The record is from RefSeq and is a predicted model, not a curated record.
GAAGCACAGAUGAUCUCUGAAGAGCCUCCAGGUCAUACUUUCCUUUUCUUCCCUUUUCUUUCUGGAAAAGUUACAGUGGCAGCUGGAUAGCUCUAUAGUCUUCUUCUGUGGGACCCCGGAAGUGCAGCAGUCUUUCUUCAUUCUUUUCCACUUUCUCUGUCUCCCUUAGUUCAAGCUGGCGGUGUUUCAGCUCAUAUGAUUCUAUAAUCAUUUUGUCAAGUAACGGUCCAGUCACAGCCUUAUUUUUCUCUUUAGAACAUGCUUUCUCCUUUUUUUCAAUAUGCAUGGGCUGAGAAUUCUCCAAAUCUUUAAGUUCUGAUACCUUUCUGAUUAAUAAUUUCUUCUUCAAUUCAUCUCUUGCAUCCGAUUGUUUUACUAUAGGCAGUCCGCAGGAUCCAGGAUGCACCUGCAAUAUUUUGCUUAGAAAUCUCCUUAGAUAAAAAUCUAGUUUCAUUAUUAACAAAUGUUUCUUUCCCUAAACACUACAACAUAUUCAGCUGAGUUCUUUUUACAAAGACUUCAGUGACCAGUAAUCUGGUCCUAGUUUCUAUCUGAGACCUCACCAGAAUGACCUUUAUCAUCCAUACUUCUUCCACCAUUCUCUUUAUGGUGUCUAUAUAUUCUCUAAAAAGAAUAUAUAUAAUACAACCAGUGGGUAGAGGCAAGGAGGUGUAUCUAAAAAUGCUACAAUGAGCAGAAUACCCUCUAACCCCCUUCUUUAUUUCUGAUUCCUCACCAGAACUGCUUUUAACAUCUUCCACAUUUCUACCAACAAUCUCUUAAUAAUGUCAACGUAGUAUUUUUCUAGCAUGCAUCUCAAAACUCUUCUGGCCUCUACCCAUGACCCAGAUCCAAAACCAUGCCCAAAGUUUUAGAUAUUUCUUAGAGCAGCACUACACCUCACAGAACCAAAAUCUCUGUUCAUAUGUUUGGGUCAUCCUAACUCGUCUGCAUAGGCUAGGUGGAUUAAACAACAUAAAUUUGCUUCUUACAGUUCUGGAGGCCAGAAGUCCAAAAUUCAGAUGCUUUCAAGGUAGAUUUCAUUCUGAGGACUCUUAGGUUGUAAGUGGCCACAGACUGUGUGCUCACAUGACCAUUAUGUGCAAGGACAGAAAGAGAGAGAGGUCUCUGUUAUCUCUUUUCAUAAAGACAUUAAUUCUAUUAGAUCAGGAACCCACCCUUGUGACUUCAUUUAACUUUAAUUACUUCCUUAGAGGCCCCAUUGCCAAAUAUAGUCACAUUUGGGGUGAAGGCUUUUAAGAAAUGAAUUUUGGAAAGACACGAGCAUUUAGUCCACAGUGCAAAGAAUGUUAUGCCACUAACUAAAGGGUAUGAAAACACGUUUUUUUCCCAGAAUAAGGGAGAAUAAACCCCCUAGCAAAUAUAUGCCACCUUUGCUCAAUGUGUUACAAAAUCUUUUAGGAACCUUUUCAUUACUUCCUACUGCCUCAAUCCUAGGCAAUAUGCAGGAAGAGAAUGCCAUUCUAUCAUCUGUUUUAUUAUCCUCAAUCCUCCUAGACUCUGCUUGCACACCCAGUUCUCUCUUUACCAUCAGUCAUAUGACAUAAACUCUACCCAUCAAGGCAAUAGAAGUGAAAAGACACUAGUAACUUGUUGAUGUUAGUUAAACAUAAACUCCCUGUUUCACAUGACAUAAGCUAUAUUUUUUAAAAUGCUAUGUAAUUUAUGGCUUUCAUUGAAGAGUUAUAUCCUGGUAUAUAGAGCCAUGUUCUCACUAUGUUGCCCAGGCUGGUCUCAAAUUCCCAGCCUCAAGCAAUCCUCCCACCUGGGCCUCCCAAAGUGCUGGGACAUCAGUUAUGAGCCACAGUACCUGGCCUACUUAGUCUAAAUCAAUGAGUUUUACUAUGUGAUGAGUUAAAACAAUCAUGGAGCCUUUUCAUGUUUUCAGAAUGAUAAAUACAUAUUAUUUGCGGUCCUGACAAAUGGUACUUUGAGUUUCCAUACAGAAGCCACAUAAAAUUAAAUCAUAAUACACAGCAGAUGAAGCUAUACACAUUUCACUGAAGUAGUUUGGGGUGAAGGGUAGUUAGUCAUGAAGCCAGGGUUUGAGAGGUGAGGGUAGAAUUUUUUGUUGGAAAAGCAGAAAAAAAGAUUAGGGUAGAGAAAACCAAAAAUAAUCUUACAGAAAUGGAGUGAAGGAGGUCUUGAUUUCCAGAAGAGGUUAUAUUCUGGGUGAUGGCCAAGAAAAAUAAUGAAGUACAGCAUAGUGAAUUUGUCUAACUCCUCUGGAGUAUGUCAAACAAUCUAGUUAUUCAGUUUAGCUUCAUUGUGAAAUAGGAACUAAUGGAGGUAGUCUGUAAAGGGACUGCUCUGUAGAGAUGGGGAAAUACAAGAAUGUGAGCGUGGGGAUACAUGCGAGAGCAUGGUCUCACAGUUAGAGCCAAGUAAAUAAGCCCUGUGAUCGGCGGCAUGGGUAGCAGCUAUAGUUGGGGAUGGGUGAGUGGAUGAUUUGAGAACAGCUUUUGCAAACUAUUCUCUGUAGUCUCAAACAUAUAGAUCAUCUUCUCCUACGAUUUACUAUUACAAAUGGCUAAUUUCGUCAAUUAUGUGUCAGUGCUUAUUAUUUCCAGUGUCAGAGGACAUCCUUUUAUAGUCCCCCUACCUAUUAAUAUUUGAGCAUCAGGUUGCUUUAAAGCAGAGAUAAAUUUAAUGAUCCUCCCCUAAGUUUUUCCUUGUCAUUAUUGCUUAUUUGCUAACAUGUUGGGGGUUUAAUUCUUUUUCUUGAUCUUUUAAAUUUAUCGCUUGAUGGAAAUAAUUGGGAGGUUUGAAUAUUUACAACAGUGAGAGUCUUUAUUAGUUUUUAAAUAGAUAAAAAUAUCCUUUCUUCCCUAUAGUGCAAAGUGGAAUGGGCUAUUACUACCAUCUCAGUAAAUUAAAUUCCUUAAAAAAAUAAAAGAAAUAGAUUGUGACAAUGUUUAGCCAAAGGAGUUCUCCAGCUGGCUGAACAUUUAUGGGCAGUUCGCCAUCAACACGAGGUAAAUUCACCUACAAGUAGCUAUUUAGAAAACAUGUGUAUAAUGAUGGCUGUUAAACUUACCCAACUGAAUUACACCUAACUUCAGACAAAAGAAUGGAAUAUAUACAUAACCAAAUUGAUGAUAACUAAGAGGAUGACAGUUUAAUUACCAAUAGGAAUAUAAAUAGGGCCAAGUGAAGAGGCUUAAAUUGGUGAUACAGAAUAAUUAUUAGUAAUGAACUUAAGAGAAUAGAAAGUUUAGUUGGAGGCUCAAAAAUACACAGGUGUACACUGCAGUCUGCUCGUUUUGAGUAAAGUGAUCUCCAUGCAGGCAUAGGGAAUUAGUUAAAUCAUACUGUGUACUCCCUGCUGGGCCUACAUCUUUAGGCAAAAGCAACCUAAAUUUAACAUUAAGUGGUGUUGUCAACCUAGUUUGCACAUUUGAAUCACCACUGAUGCUUUUUAAACAUAGUGUGAUCUGGGUCAUACCCGAUCUAAUUGAUCUUGGAUAGGAACCAGACAUUAAGUAUUUUAAAAAUCACUACAGAUUUGUCACAGUUGCAGCCAGGACCAAGAAGCACUGCUCUAAAGACAUUUUGCAGCUCAAAUCGCUGCUCUUGGCUUCUGAAUCAGGGGUGGCUGAGGUAGAUUGUUUUGUUUUUCAGCAGCAGAGAAACAACCAAAUUCAUGACCUGUCCUUACACAUCCCAGGCCCAUGGUUAGUCUUCACUGCUUAUUAGAAAGUAGGGAUGAUUAUUUUUUUCAAAAAGCUAAGUCAGUGUUGGGCUGGCUGGCAAGUAUAAUGGCUAAAGUGAUAGAAGAGUUUCCCUUCUACACACGGGCAAGUUGUGGGUGAGUUAGAUAAACCGAGAUUGGACUAUGAGUAGCUUUUCAAUAAGUACCACCUGGGUUGUAGGCUGCUUGUACAUAUGUCUCCAGUGACCAGGGCAGCAGUAGCACAGGUGCUGGCUGUUUAUGGGAGCUACACGAGCACCAGUCUGUCUCUUGCUGACUUCAUAAGCACCCAUUCUUUGGCUCAGAAACAACCUGAUAGUCAUCUCCCUUCCUCUUCUUUCUUUCCUUGUCACUUUUGACACAUCUCCAGUAUAGCAUUUCACCACAAAUGAAGUUACAUUACAAAAAUCCACUUACAUUUGUAUUUCAUAUUAGGCUACAGGUUCCUUAAGGUUCUGGACAGCUUUAGUCAUUCUAAUAUCUUUAGCUUUCAUCGAAAUGCCAGGCAUGCAAAUAUUUGUAGGUUUAAAAUGACCUGGGAUUCUAGAUCCCCUGUUUUAAUUUGAAAGUAAGAAUGGGUGGGAGAUAGUAGAGAAAGGAAAAGGAAAGGGAGACGCUCACAGCUAUAGAGGUAAACUUCUUCCAGAUACAACCCAAUUCACUAAUAAAUAUCUCUCAAAUUCAUACAUUUUUAUAUCACAUAUUUGUUGCAGCCAUUCUACACACAGAAGCAAACUAGUUAUAAAAGUUAUCUGACAUCAUGGAGCUUACGUUGGCAUAAACUAUUAGUAAAGGAGAAAUAUAAGCAUCAUUAAGAAAAUUUAACAUUUUUUAAUGCUAUGAAGAAAAUAAGAAAUUGAAACAGGAAAUGGUUUACACAUGUGGAUCAGGGUGGGGUGGCAUUUUAAACAGGUGGUUAGAGAAGACCCCUGUAGAAACAGGAUAUUGACUCUGAAACUCAAGCCCAUUGCAAAAAAAGGGAGGAGGGGAAAAAGGAGAUCCCAGACAAAGAGAAUAGUAAAUACAAAAGUCCAGGUAUAGGAGGAAAACGCUUGGUGAAAUUGAGAAAUAAAAUAAAGGCUUGUUUUUAACAUCUACACACAUACAUAUACACAAUAGAUCGGGGCGGGGGUGCGGGGAGAAAGCCCUGUUUAUGAUUAGAUAACUCGUGAACCUGACCUCUUUUACAAAAUCACCAGUUCUCCCAGGCCUUGAGUUAUAAGCCAUCAUACACCCAGGGGCAGGUUUGCUGGCUUAAGAUUGUCCCUGUAAGAUCAUCUCUAAAAGGUCAGUGGGCUUUUAUACUACCAGAGUAUGUUUGAUCUAAAUGACCUGAAUGGUGACUUUAGCACUCCCUCCUGAAGGCUGAAGUCUGACUUCCAAGUACCAAGGUUACAUGAGUCCAGCUCAUUGUCUGGGAUGCACUGAGAGCUUUAUUCCUGAGAAGACCUGGAUCUUCACAGUGAAACCUGCAAUGCCCACCAGCUGGGAGUGCUUUUCUACCUCGGCUUUACUGAUCUGUAUUAUGCAGUGUAAACCACAGGGAAGUGGAAUUAGGUUUGUCUCAUUCUGUCAGUUCUUAAUAAACUCUUGAGUACAGCACCCUUAUUUUAUUCUUCUUUGUAUACCCAGCUCCUAGCACAAGGCCUAACUCAAAGAAAACUGGCCCACAACCUAAAUGCUUUUAGUUUUUUUAAUGGUAAGAAACAAAAAAAUCAAAUGAAAAUAAAUAUUUUUUAACAUAUGGACAUUAAAUGAAAUCCCAAGUCAGUGUCCAUAAAGUUUUAUGGAAACAGCCAUGUUCAUUCAUUUAUGUUUUGCCCAAGCCUAUUCUCCCAUGAUAAAGGCAGAAUUAAGUGGUUUUACAGAGUUCCCUAGUUGCGAUGGAGACUGUAUCGGUGGCAAAUCUGAAAUGUUUACUAUUGACCCUUUAGAGAAAAAGUUUGCCAACCUCUGCGAUAAAUAUUUACCAUGGGAAUAAUGAAAUGAUGCAUAAAUAUAUGAACUAUUAUGGCAAAUUCACUUUCGUAUAAUUACUCCUUAAUAGUAUACACUCUAUGGCAGAGAUCCAGGCAUUAACCUAGACUUUUACAAUUUUAUUUAAAAUACGUGACCAGUGUUAUUUAUGAAUCAUUUUGCCAUGCUGUUCUAAAACACAUUCAAUCAGAAUAACAAUUUUAAUUGUGUUUUCUAAAUGGGCUUCUCCUCUACAUCUCAAUGCCUCUUUUCAUGAGGACCAGCCAGUCUUCCAAGAAAUUAUAUUUAAACUCUAUUAGAAUCAUGAUAAUCAUUUCACUUUAUCAAGCAGGUUUAUGUCCUCUGCAGUGUUCUUCCUUCUGUGUCUGUCUGUAAGUUCUAAACUUUUGCCAUGGGAUAUGCAAUUCUGCUUUAUAGAGAUACAUGACUAAAAGAAACUCAAUCACCUCCGUUACAUGUGAAUUUCAUUUCAUAUUUACAUUUGUUAACUAAUUUCCUAGGUUUUACUGAAUGCCAACAACACUGUCAGAUUGGAGGCAUUGGGAAGGUCACGAAAUGCCACACCAUGUGAAGCCCUUGCCAUAUUACAGCUAUGACCAGCCUGUGAUUGGGUACUGCCAGGCCCACCAGCCUCUCCAUGUCACCAAGGGCUAUGAGGCAGUGUCUCUGGAGCAAGAUGAAAGCCCCGGCAUGGAGCUAGGGCAAGACCACAGCUUCAUCGCCACCAUCGCCAGGUCGGCAGCACCGGCCAUUUACCUUGAGAGAAUUGCAAACUAACGCUGAAGCCAACUCCUCAUUGGGGAACUCCACGGGGGGAGGGAGGGCCUUCAUCUUAAAGGAGAGUGGGUGUCUGAAAUCGUGCAAUCAAGCAAGCUCAUCGUUCCUGUUAAAACAUUUAUGGCAUAGAGAAAAGGAAAAGAUAAAAAACCAAACUGCUUUAAAAGGGUAGCAAAUGCACCUGCAGCAUAACUGGGAGAACUGCAGAACUUUCUUUGCUUUAAAACAUAAAUGAACAAAAAUGCUCCCGGAUGUAAAUAGUAAGAGUGUCAAGUUCUUAUAAAAAUAGAUUUCACCCUAGCUACGUAUAGGUUUGUUUGUAUAUUUGAUUUUUCUACACUGCAUGGUUCCUGGGCUGGAGAACCACAGGAGGGCAAAUAAACAGGGGUGGGCGGGAAGUUGGGUAAACAACAGGCUUCCUCUUUAGGUAUUUGUAACUCUCACAGAUUUUAUUUAAAUUGUUUUCAUUUUCUUUUUUCUUUAAAAAUGCUGUUUGUUCUUGUUUUGUUUGUUUUAAAUUGUUUUUUUUUUUUCCUGGUCAAGUUUCUAAUACAAAACAUGAGCAUUAAACUUUAUGUUGUAUCAAAAGAAAAUGCGUUUUACCACGGACCACAGAGAAAGCUGACCACAAAGUUUGAUAAAACUACUGGAAAGAAAACUCAGUAAGUCUGGGUGAAUGACUCUUCAUGACAAAUGCCAUAUGUGGUACAUGAUAGAAGGAGUUUUGUUUUGUCCAGUUGGCAGCCUUCACUGUGUCGGAUGUCUGAGAGAGCCUUGAAGAUUUCUGAAUGACAAGAUCAGCAGAAUCAUUCUCAUGUGGACUAAGGCUAUAAAAGAGCCAUGACCAUGUGCUCAAUGAAUGAGACUGCCAAGCUGACAAAUUUCUAAACACAAGAUAAUGUGUAACAUUGUUUUUUAAUUGAUUAUCAAUUAGCUUUUGUGUAGUUUUUAUCAAUAAAAGAAAAAAAUGUUGAAAAAUAAAUAUAUUAUUUUGUGGUUGGUGUACCACAGCCCACCUAA